Molossus molossus (Pallas's mastiff bat) is the source of this 2232-nucleotide non-coding RNA. The record is from the annotation of a RefSeq genome assembly. Lineage: Eukaryota; Metazoa; Chordata; Mammalia; Chiroptera; Molossidae.
CGAAUACUGGGGCCAGGGGACCCUGGUCACUGUCUCCUCAGCCUCCACCAAGGCCCCGUCGGUCUUCCCGCUGGCCCCCAGCUGUAAAGACACACCCGGCUCCACAGUGUCCCUGGCCUGCCUUGUCUCUGGCUACUUCCCUGAGCCAGUGACUGUGUCCUGGAACUCCGGCGCCCUGACCAGCGGUGUGCACACCUUCCCAUCCGUCCUGCAGUCCUCCGGGCUCUACUCUCUGAGCAGCAUGGCGACAGUACCCACCAGCAGCUGGUCCAGCCAGACCUACACCUGCAAUGUAGCCCACCCGGCCAGCAGCACCAAGGUGGACAAGACCGUGCCCAAAGGGAACAGACCCGAAAAACCUUGCAAAUGCCCAGCUUGUCCAAACCUGGGAGGGCCCUCGGUCUUCAUCUUUCCCCCACACCCCAAGGACACCCUCAUGAUCGCCCGGACUCCCAAGGUCACGUGUAUGGUGGUUGACGUGGCCACAGAAGACCUCGAAGUUGAGUUCACCUGGUUCGUGGACGACGUAAAGAUGGACACGGUGAAAACGAAGGCCCAGGAAGAGCAGUUCAACAGCACGUACCGCGUGGCCAAUUCCUUCACCGUCUCGCACCAGGACUGGCUGAAGGGCAAGGAGUAUAAGUGCAAGGUCAACAACAAGGCCCUGCCGGCCCCCAUCGAGAGGACCAUCUCCAAGGCCAAAGGGCAAGUCCGGGAGCCACAGGUGUACACCCUGCCCCCACACCCAGACGAGCUGACCAAGGACACAGUCAGCGUGACCUGCCUGGUCAAAGACUUCUACCCAGCGGACAUCAGUGUGGAGUGGCAGAGCAGCGGGCAGCCAGAGCCGGAAAACAAGUACAUCGAGACCCCGCCCCAGGAGGACGAGAACAACUCCUACUUCCUGUACAGCAAGCUCACUGUGGACAAGAACAGGUGGCAGCAGGGGGUGGUUUUCACGUGCGCGGUGAUGCACGAGGGCCUGCACAAUCACUACACCCAGAAGACCGUCUCCCAAAACCCGGAGCUGCUCCUGGAUGAGAACUGUUCAGAGGCCCAGGUCGGGGAGCUGGACGGGCUGUGGACCACCAUCUCCAUCUUCAUCACCCUCUUCCUGCUCAGCGUGUGCUACAGUGCCACCGUCACCCUCUUCAAGGUGAAGUGGAUCUUCUCCUCGGUGGUGGAGCUGAAGAGAACCAUCGUCCCUGACUACAGGAACAUGAUCGGACAGGGGGCUUAGCACCACCCCUCCUGGGCAAGCAUCCAGGGCUGCCCCAGACCUCGCACAGGACCAGGUCCGCUGGUUCAUGCUGCUCGACCUGCUGCCCAUGCCUGCUCCUCCUCCUUCUGACCUCAGUGCCCUCUGACCUCUCUACCCUCUGACCCCACGGCCACCCUAGGCUUGCACCUCCACCCUCUGGCCUCACAACUAUCACAGGUUGCAUCUGCCCUGUGACCCACCCCUCUGGAGAACCAAGUGGAGAGCAGGUCCCAUCCCAACCUGAGCUGAAGGACACCCACCAGCCCCUCCAUGGCAGCCGCCAAGACACCACCAAGAGCCCUGUGGACACCAGGGGCAUCAGGGCCAGUGCCCUCUCCCAGGUUGUCACUGCCUAGGGUCAGUGUGUAGGUCCAUCCUGAAGGAGACAGAGGCCCUGAAUUCCAAGGGUCCAUCAGGCAGGAUCCAGGAGGCAAGGUUCCUGGGAAAAUUCUGAGUACCCCACCAGGGAAGCUUUGGGAUGCGCCCUAAUGGUCACUCAGAUCGCCUCUACCAGAGGAGACCUGAGGAGGAGGGUCUGGACCAGGGCUGCAGGGCGGUACCACCUCGGAGGGGUGGGUAUCCAGCCACAAGUCUCCUGGGGAGGGGCUUAGUUACCAGAUCACCAAGCAGGGGGGACCCAGCCUCAGUGGACAGAGGAGGUCAAGAGACAUGGGUGUUGAGGUGCAGAGCACCAGAGAGCAGUGAAACAAUGGGCCUGAGUCCCACCCACUCACCCUUCCCAGGGUCCCCCUGCUCCGGUUGCGGGGGGCUAAGAGCCAAGAGAACCGAAUGGUGCAUGCCCCCUGCCUUGGGGACCCAACAGGGUGGUUGGAUGUCCUGAUCUUCAGGGAGUGCCAAGUCAGCAUGUCUAGAUGGGAAGGAGGGAGACGCAGACCCCAUGACCACAGGGGACGCACAGAGAGAGACUACUCAACUCUUUUCUUUUUAAUUUUCUGGAGCCCACUGAUGUU